Molecule: transfer RNA, 71 nt
Filed under: uncultured Ruminococcus sp.
Lineage: Bacteria; Bacillati; Bacillota; Clostridia; Eubacteriales; Oscillospiraceae
Rfam family: tRNA
About the family: Transfer RNA (tRNA) molecules are approximately 80 nucleotides in length. Their secondary structure includes four short double-helical elements and three loops (D, anti-codon, and T loops). Further hydrogen bonds mediate the characteristic L-shaped molecular structure. tRNAs have two regions of fundamental functional importance: the anti-codon, which is responsible for specific mRNA codon recognition, and the 3' end, to which the tRNAs corresponding amino acid is attached (by aminoacyl-tRNA synthetases). tRNAs cope with the degeneracy of the genetic code in two manners: having more than one tRNA (with a specific anti-codon) for a particular amino acid; and 'wobble' base-pairing, i.e. permitting non-standard base-pairing at the 3rd anti-codon position.
Source: RNAcentral
GGGGUAUAGCUCAGCUGGGAGAGCAUCUGCCUUACAAGCAGAGGGUCACAGGUUCGAUCCCUGUUGUCCCC